GUCUAUGGCCAUGCUACCUUGAAGAAGCUCGAUCCCAUCUAAUCUCAGAAGCUAAGCAGAGUCGGGCCUGGUUAGUACUUGGAUGGGAGACCACACAGGAAGACCAGGUGCUGUAGGCA
Molecule: ribosomal RNA, 119 nt
Filed under: Pteropus alecto (black flying fox)
Lineage: Eukaryota; Metazoa; Chordata; Mammalia; Chiroptera; Pteropodidae
Source: RNAcentral